RNAcentral lists this ribosomal RNA (483 nucleotides) under uncultured bacterium. RNAcentral describes it as "bacterial SSU rRNA". It matches the Rfam family "Bacterial small subunit ribosomal RNA", at positions 28 to 506 of the family's 1533-position model. The record is from RNAcentral.
GAUGAACGCUAGCGGCAGGCUUAACACAUGCAAGUCAAGGGGUAUUGGUUUUCGGACCAAGAGACCGGCGCACGGGUGCGUAACGCGUAUGCAAUCUACCUUUUGCAGAGGGAUAGCCCCAGAGAAAUUUGGAUUAAUACCUCAUAGUAUAGUACUUUGGCAUCAAGGAACUAUUAAAGUCACAACGGCAAAGAUGAGCAUGCGUCCCAUUAGCUAGUUGGUAAGGUAACGGCUUACCAAGACGAUGAUGGGUAGGGGUCCUGAGAGGGAGAUCCCCCACACUGGUACUGAGACACGGACCAGACUCCUACGGGAGGCAGCAGUGAGGAAUAUUGGGACAAUGGGCGCAAGCCUGAUCCAGCAAUGCCGCGUGCAGGAUGAAGGCCUUCGGUUGUAACUAGCUUUGUACGGUAACGAAACGGUGAGCUCUAAUACAGUUGCUAAUAGACGGUACCGUAAGAAUAAGACACCGGCUAACUACGU